AUGAUUUAUAUUUUGGCGCAAUUUUGUGCAGCGCGUCACUGUGCGCGACCAUCACAGAAACCAUUGCCCAGCGCGAUUCCACCACGGUUCCUUAAUCCCUCACCUUUAAAAAAAAAAACAGCACCUCAUUACAUUAAAAAGGCACUUUUAAGAGCCACAUUUGUCUUGUAUCUUGUUACUCUCUUUACUGUUGUAUUGUUUUCUCUCUCUUGCUGUCUUACUGUCUCCCCCCCCAUUCCUCUGAGUGUGGUUUUUGUUUGUUUGUUUUGUCUUUUUUUUUGUCUGUGUGUUUAUAGUGUGUUUAUCUUUUGUGCCAUGUCUGAUCCUGAGAUGGACUGUCUCCUAAAUGAGAUGAGUGACCUUGUCGAUCAGGCUGAACAUCAAGCUCACCUCCAACAGCUCAUUAGCAUGCACCAGGAAGCAGAACCAUCCACCAGUCAGCCUUCCACCCGUAAUCCAUCCACCAGCCAGCCAUCAAACAGCAAGCAAGAUGUUAGGUGGAUUAAGAGGGACAGUGAUGGAAACAUUAUUUACAUUAUUUACAUUAUUAUUUACAGCAGAUCAUCCCGGAAACAAGCAGGUCCCAGUCACAGCCAGAGUCGAAAGACUGGUGUCUCUCAUAUCAGGGCUCCGGAAACCAGUGCGGAAAUGACCAGUGACUUUCUUUCCAUUACUGCAGAGUCCUUCCUUCAAGAGCUUAAAAGCUCAUUGUUUGAGGACAUACAUGAGGAUGAAACGGCACUUCAAGCCUCAACAGACUGGUUGACCCGAAAGAGCCUCAUAUCAGGGUGGUGGGAGAAAGAGAGACCCCGACUGGUCAACAUGUGGCAAAACGGAUCUGCCAACAUUGUGGAAAUGGUCCAGCCGUUAUCCGUUGUUGUGACUGCCGACCACACCCAUUCCUCUGUGGCCAGUGUGAUGUCAGGGUCCACCGAGGUCACGUGUUCCACAACAGGGAUUCGAUGA
This 966-nucleotide long non-coding RNA is filed under the name Carassius auratus (goldfish). RNAcentral describes it as "lncRNA (ENSCARG00000047339.1)". The record is from RNAcentral. Lineage: Eukaryota; Metazoa; Chordata; Actinopteri; Cypriniformes; Cyprinidae.